This 574-nucleotide ribosomal RNA is filed under the name marine sediment bacterium BB0608_AND_2.1_1S0. Its description in RNAcentral is "bacterial SSU rRNA". It matches the Rfam family "Bacterial small subunit ribosomal RNA", at positions 78 to 647 of the family's 1533-position model. The record is from RNAcentral.
GCUUGCUUUUCUGAUGACGAGUGGCGCACGGGUGCGUAACGCGUAUACAAUCUGCCUUCAAGCGGGGGAUAGCCCAUGGAAACGUGGAUUAAUACCCCAUAGUAUAUAGAGAUCACCUGGUUUCUAUAUUAAACAUUUAUGGCUUGAAGAUGAGUAUGCGUCCUAUUAGUUAGUUGGUAAGGUAACGGCUUACCAAGACCGCGAUAGGUAGGGGUCCUGAGAGGGAGAUCCCCCACACUGGUACUGAGACACGGACCAGACUCCUACGGGAGGCAGCAGUGAGGAAUAUUGGACAAUGGAGGCAACUCUGAUCCAGCCAUGCCGCGUGCAGGAAGACUGCCCUAUGGGUUGUAAACUGCUUUUAUACAGGAAGAAACCCCUCCACGUGUGGAGGUCUGACGGUACUGUAUGAAUAAGGAUCGGCUAACUCCGUGCCAGCAGCCGCGGUAAUACGGAGGAUCCAAGCGUUAUCCGGAAUCAUUGGGUUUAAAGGGUCCGUAGGCGGGAUAAUAAGUCAGUGGUGAAAGUCUGCCGCUUAACGGUAGAAUUGCCAUUGAUACUGUUGUUCUUGAAU